UCAGGAUGAACGCUGGCGGCGUGCUUAACACAUGCAAGUCGAACGAAGCAAUUUCUCACGAUCCCUUCGGGGUGACGAGUUAUUGACUGAGUGGCGGACGGGUGAGUAACGCGUGGGUAACCUACCUUGUACAGGGGGACAACAGUUGGAAACGACUGCUAAUACCGCAUAAGCGCACAGCUUCGCAUGAAGCAGUGUGAAAAGUUUUUUCGGUACAAGAUGGACCCGCGUCUGAUUAGCUAGUUGGUGAGGUAACGGCCCACCAAGGCGACGAUCAGUAGCCGACCUGAGAGGGUGACCGGCCACAUUGGGACUGAGACACGGCCCAAACUCCUACGGGAGGCAGCAGUGGGGAAUAUUGCACAAUGGGCGCAAGCCUGAUGCAGCGACGCCGCGUGAGCGAAGAAGUAUUUCGGUAUGUAAAGCUCUAUCAGCAGGGAAGAUAAUGACGGUACCUGACUAAGAAGCACCGGCUAAAUACGUGCCAGCAGCCGCGGUAAUACGUAUGGUGCAAGCGUUAUCCGGAUUUACUGGGUGUAAAGGGAGCGUAGGCGGUUUUACAAGUCUGAUGUGAAAGCCCGGGGCUCAACUCCGGUAUUGCAUUGGAAACUGUAGAACUAGAGUGUCGGAGGGGUAAGUGGAAUUCCUAGUGUAGCGGUGAAAUGCGUAGAUAUUAGGAGGAACACCAGUGGCGAAGGCGGCUUACUGGACG
Molecule: ribosomal RNA, 712 nt
Filed under: Pseudobutyrivibrio sp. G2
Lineage: Bacteria; Bacillati; Bacillota; Clostridia; Lachnospirales; Lachnospiraceae
Description: bacterial SSU rRNA
Rfam family: Bacterial small subunit ribosomal RNA
Source: RNAcentral